CCCGUCACACACUACCAUGAACUUGUCCCGUCAGGUCUGAUUAUGGAAGCUAAGUAGGGUCAGGUCUGGUUAGGACUUGGAUGGGAGGCCGCCCGGGAAUAGCUGAUGGGUGCUGUGG
Ribosomal RNA from Echinops telfairi (small Madagascar hedgehog), 118 nucleotides. NCBI's taxonomy places the organism in Eukaryota, Metazoa, Chordata, Mammalia, Afrosoricida, Tenrecidae. The record is from Ensembl.